CGUGUAUAUAUAGCUAGGACCUUGGGGCGUCGAGAAGCGCCCAUCAUCAUCCAGCUGAAACCAUCGGUCGAUUGCUCGCCGGACGCAGCAUCGAUUCUCCUGGCACGCCCACGUCGGAGGUGGUCGAUCGAUAGAUAGAUACGUGAUGGAGAACGACAGGAACAACCAGGCGCCGCCACCACCCCCAGGCUACUACCCAUCCGCGGCCGCGGAGCAACGUCAAGCCGGCGGCGGGAAGAAGUCGCGCCGGGGGAGCACCAAAUCCAGGGGCGAGAAGGGAUUCAUCGAGGGAUGCCUAGCGGCGCUGUGCUGCUGCUGGAUCUGCGAGAUGUGCUGCGACUAACCGGCCGGCGAGGCCGCUGCCGGCAAAAGAAGUUGGUGCUAGUGCCUAUGAAGAACAUACCCAUACAGAGAGUCGUUUCUUAAUUACAGUGUUUGUUACUUUGUUGUUUUAGGUUCUGCGGAAAUAACCGAGAACGCGUGCGUGCGUGCGGGUGUGAUGUCCAUGUACCUACCGUGCGUCACACCUAUAAUCAAUUUUAUGGCGCCAAAUUAUCGGGCUACUGUUGAGGAUCCUCUAAUUAAAGAUAACAUCUGCUGUGCACAAUGAAGGCUUUUAUUUGCAGAGGGAGAAGUCGUGAAGGCGUAAUCAGCAGUCACUUGUGCAGAGGUAAUAGUAGUGGGAUCGAGGUUUUAUUUCUAUAAAAGAAAUAUAGUGGUAUCAAGUCAGGUCCAUCUCUAAUUGCUCGGUAAUCGAGUUGUGUGCAUCGUAAAGAUGCAGAUCGAGUGGGGUUAUCCUCCUCUAAAAAAGGGUUAUCUCUAAUUGCUCGUUUGGCAGCAAGAGAGAGCAUA
Molecule: long non-coding RNA, 852 nt
Organism: Triticum dicoccoides
Lineage: Eukaryota; Viridiplantae; Streptophyta; Magnoliopsida; Poales; Poaceae
Exons: 3
Source: RefSeq, a predicted model, not a curated record